Molecule: transfer RNA, 83 nt
Filed under: Candidatus Nitronauta litoralis
Lineage: Bacteria; Pseudomonadati; Nitrospinota; Nitrospinia; Nitrospinales; Nitrospinaceae
Description: tRNA-Leu
Rfam family: tRNA
About the family: Transfer RNA (tRNA) molecules are approximately 80 nucleotides in length. Their secondary structure includes four short double-helical elements and three loops (D, anti-codon, and T loops).
Source: RNAcentral
GCCGGAGUGGCGGAACGGUCUACGCAGCGGACUUAAAAUCCGUACCCAGCAAUGGGCUGUGGGUUCGAAUCCCACCUCCGGCA